UUCAGAAAGUUUUGAAAUCACUUCAUAAAACGUUGUCAGAAUGUAAAAUGAGGGGAAAUGAAACUAUUUCGAUUGCAAGAACUAAAUUAAUUACUUGCUAUAAGCAACUAACCAUUACAGAAGCAAGGUCACCUAUUAUAAUUUACAGUCAUUUGCUGUUGAUCUAUAUAAAGACCUUGCAAAAUCACUACAUCUCAACCAUGAAUGUGAAGUAUAAGAAUGCUGGACCAAUCCAUACAUAAGAAACUCUGCAACAUAGAAUUCUGCCACCAUAAUUUUUCAACUN
This 286-nucleotide long non-coding RNA is filed under the name Vigna radiata. RNAcentral's name for it is "long non-coding RNA (VRAD_LNC004401)". The record is from RNAcentral. Lineage: Eukaryota; Viridiplantae; Streptophyta; Magnoliopsida; Fabales; Fabaceae.